CCUACGGGUGGCAGCAGUGAGGAAUAUUUUUCAAUUUUCUUAAUCCUUAACCCGCCCCGUCGCGUGCCGGAUGACGGCCCUACGGGUUGUAAACUGCUUUUAUACGGGAAUAACGCGCCUUAUGUGUAGGGCUUUGCAUGUACCGUAUGAAUAAGGACCGGCUAAUUCCGUGCCAGCAGCCGCGGUAAUACGGAAGGUCCGGGCGUUAUCCGGAUUUAUUGGGUUUAAAGGUAGCGUAGGCCGCAUGUCAAGCGUGCUGUGAAAUGUCCGGGCUCAACCCGGGCCUUGCAGCGCGAACUGGCGUGCUUGAGUCCGCGGAAAGCAGGCGGAAUUCGUCGUGUAGCGGUGAAAUGCUUAGAUAUGACGAAGAACCCCGAUUGCGAAGGCAGCUUGCUGCAGCGGAACUGACGCUGAUGCUCGAAAGCGCGGGUAUCGAACAGGAUUAGAUACCCGGGUAGUC
RNAcentral lists this ribosomal RNA (460 nucleotides) under uncultured bacterium. RNAcentral describes it as "partial 16S ribosomal RNA". It matches the Rfam family "Bacterial small subunit ribosomal RNA", at positions 338 to 795 of the family's 1533-position model. The record is from RNAcentral.